AUCCUGUUUACAGAAUAGCAUACAUCAUAUAUAUGUAUGUAUAUAAGUGUUGUUGUGUGUAGAUGGUGAUGGCCGUUGUGUACGCCUGUUUGUGCGUGUUGUGGAAAAAGACACCAUCAAGCGCAGCAUCACAAACCCAGAUCAGGACGGAGUUUUCAUGCACAGACAGCCAGAGGAGAACAGCAGAGAGGAGUCGAUGUUGUACUAUUACAAAGACGGAAGCUUGACUAUUGAGGAACCCAUAAGAGGCCGAGUGGAGACGAACAAGAACUUCAGAGAUUUCUCAGUGUCUAUCAGCAACGUGAGCAAGUUUACUGGUGCAGAUUUAACAGACGUGACGUAUAUACCAUCAGUGAGAGGACGUGUCUGAUAGUCCUGCUGGGAAUCAUACCGAUAUGUACAGAGAAAACUGAAUGGAACCUGUUCAUCUACCUGAGUGAGACUGGUGGGCUGUCAUUCAUCAUUCUGUUCCUCGUGGUUGUACUGGUAUACACACACACACACACACACACACACACACACACACACACACACUGUGCAGUUACUGAACUUUUUUCUUCUUCUUGCAUUUGACUGAUCUUCCCUCUCUGUGCAGGUGAAGCUGUACUGUAAUCGUGGUAACAACACAGCCAGAGAUGCGAAUGUUCUGAUUUAAGCUGAUAGACGUAAGAUUUGGAAAUUUGUCCAAAUCACACAGUGUGCACUAAGUACAAUAACUAAAUGACACCACACUGUGUACUGACAUAUUUAGUACAGUACUUCACUGCUUUGAGAUUUGUUGCUGUUAUCACAUGUUGCGGAGUAUGUUAAUUAGCUUGUUAGCAAUUGAUGCUAAGUGUAUUUAGAGUGUAAUUUUGUUCAAACUAAGUGUUUUUAGUAAUGAUCAACAUACCUGCAAUAAAUGUAAAUUUUCCGGAUGGUUCUGUCUUGUUUCUACUCCUACAAUGCCGUUAGACUGUCUAUACCCAGAUAGCAAGCACAUUUGGGCCGAAUCCGGUAGAAAUGCGCCACUAUCGGCUCAAUGCCGUUAUCGGUGAAAAAUUAAUGACCCGGAGCCCUGCCGACUGUUCACACCACUUCUGACUGACAGACGGGUUUUGUUAUGUGAGCCAAUCUCGGCUGAAAGCUGGUGUAGUUGCGGCAGGUCCAUACUCUGUGUAGCGGUGUGUAUCUACUUUCGGCCCGAGUUCGUUAAGUCACAGUCGGGCCACAGCUAGAAUCAAGGAGCUCAGCCGCCUGGGGAAACAAAAAAGUUUUGACUGUUAAAUCGGUUAGGAUCCUCGAAGCUGCAGUCAUUCUUCGUUUCUUCGUUUUCAAGAGGAAUCAUUUCAGCUGAAGAAGACAGCUAUAAAGAGAGCCAAAGAGGAGGAGGAGGAAAGCCAAAGAGGGCAGGACCUGGUCAGACCUCCAGUCAGACGUGGAAGUGUCUGGACAAAGAACACCGAGGUGUAAAACAUAGAUAUUUGUCCAGCACAUCACUAUUACUAUUCCUUGAUGCUUUGAGGCCAUAUUUAUUUUCAUGAAACAUUGUAGAAUUUGGCAAUAUAGUCAAUAGUUUAUAAGUGUACAUUUAGUUUUGAUCAAUUGAAUUUUUUAUUAGGAGGAGUGUCCGGGUUGGCCCCCUGUAGGUCAGGAGCCUUGUUUGUGCGACUCAGAGGAUGUGCCACACCACCCAAACACAUUCUUCCACCUUCCCCCACUGUAAACUUCCCCACAGUCACCCCAAAUGCCACUUUCACCCCUGUUUCCACCACCACUUUACCAGCAGCACCACCACCAGCAGCACACGGCUCGUUCACAGAGAUGCUGCAGAACUGGCAGCCGGUGGACGAUAUGCCAUCGCUGCCAGGCUGUCAGACUGUACAGGGCCCCCAGUAAUCAUCAGAACCAGCCAUGCUGAGGGAGGUGCUGACUAAAUUAGUGAUGGUGCUGGACCAACAAACCACUGAGAUCGCUUCAACCACAGGAGGUCCAGGUGCAGCUUUUGGAUAUCGAGGAAGAUUUACUGCCCCUGCAAGACCUUCCUCAACUGCGUAGUCUGGAGCAAGCAGAUUACAAGCAAACACUGGUAAACUGGUUGGCGCUUACUGACAGGGCGGAUGUGUGCGACUGCACCUGGUGCAUAUUGAAGAGGGUGAUUGCCAACUCCCUGGCAAAGAACCUCAGUUGGAGGGGUCAAUGGAAAGACUUUACUGGCCACUCUCCAACUCGGAGAGGUCGUGAUUGCUGCAGUUCAAAGAAACCUCUUCAUGGCUAAUGCUGCAGAGAUGGAGGUUGAGGGGACCAUGAAGAGGUGGCUCCAGCUAGCAUCAGAUCGAGAGUGUAGUUGCAAGAGAAGGAAGAUGUGAGAUGUGAGGAAGAUGUGAGGAAGAUGUGAGAUCUGGCAGCUACUGCACCAUACUACAUCAAUGUCACAUGACCACCUGCACCUGUAUCACAGUCUGUUUAAGGAGCACUCCUAUAUAUAGCCACUGGUUGUACUACUUCCUCGUCUUACGUAUUGUCUAACUUGACCUGUGUCCCUGUACCAUGUUUUGUUUGAUAGUUUAUGUUUAGCCUUAGCCACAGUAUUUUGCUGAGUUGUCUGAAUGUUUUUGUUUUGUUGUUUGUUUGUUUAUUAAACUGUUUGAAGAUCUGUGCUUGCUUCUGUAUCUACCUUUGUAACAUGACAGUUGUGGUCUGAAGUUUACAUACCCCAUGCAGAAUCUGCAAAAUCUUCUUACUUUUAACAAAAUAAGAAAGAUCAUAAAAAUCCCAUGUUGUUGUUUAUUUAGUCCUCUCUUGAAUAAACUAUUUCACAUAACAGAUGUUUGCAUAUAGUCCACAAGCCAAUAGCUGAAUUUAUAAAAAAUGACCCAGUUGAAAAGUUUACAUACACUUUAUGUCUACUGUAUAUGUUAAUGCUUAAUAAAAGCCCUUAAUCU
Long non-coding RNA from Ictalurus punctatus (channel catfish), 2924 nucleotides. RefSeq lists it as uncharacterized. NCBI's taxonomy places the organism in Eukaryota, Metazoa, Chordata, Actinopteri, Siluriformes, Ictaluridae. The transcript is spliced from 9 exons. The record is from RefSeq and is a predicted model, not a curated record.